GCAACUAAGCCUGUGCACCAGAACUACUCAAGGCCGCCCUCUAAAGUCGGCAAGACACAUCUACUGAGCCCACCUGCUGCAACUAAUCAAGCCCACCCGCCCUGGAGCUCAUGCUCUACGAGAGAAGUCACUGCAGCGUGACGUCCACACGCCGCAGCCAGAGGGUAGCCCCCGCUCUCUGCAGCUAGAGAAAGCUCGAGCACAGCAACAAAGACCUAAAAUUUAUAUUCUAAAAAAAGAAAACCAAGAACGGACAGUGAGGGCCCUGAGGAUUAGCAUCAGAGGACAACAAUGACCUCCGUAGGCCUGAAGACAAAGGAAGAAGCUGACGCAGAGCCCAGGGAGGGCUGUGGUUGCAGGAGAACGUGGUUGGCCCAAGCAAGGGAAAAGAAGCUUGGCCUUUGCCAAACUCUGCAUUGCAAGUCCUUUCCCAGACUAGGCUGGACGUUCCAUGACGGCAGGGAUUUUCAUUCAUGGUCCUCACUGCACAGCCCUGGCACAGGUGGAUGCUUUCUACAAAUAUGUUAACUGAAGGAACGAAGUCUCCCUUCUGGGCACAGCACCCCCGAUUGUCCUUUGGAGAACCUCCAUCCUGCACUCUCUACUCACAAGCUAUGAAUGAGGGAAGCCCACAUCCAUUGCACAGGGGCCCAUUACUCAGGCUUGGCAGUCCGCAUAUCCAAGACCACUGGCUACACCUGGGCAGGUGGUACCCACACAAGGGGCUGAAAUCCCUGCCCCUCAAGCUCGAGUCCUGGCACAAGAGAAAGGGGCUUCUCCCAAGAGAAAGGGGCACCCUUCCUAACUGACACAGAAGCACCUCAGGGGGCAGCCCUGGCCAGGAGCAAAUCUCGUCACCUUGGCCCCAGUGUUUGGGUCAGAGACGGGCAUGUAACCAGACUGGUCCAGCCAGGUGAAUCCUAGAAAUCCGCAGGUGCCACUGUUACUGGAAGGCCUAUUAACAAUUCUUGGGAAAUAAAACUAGAAAUAGAAAUCUGGGUAAUAAAGUCUAACCUUUU
Long non-coding RNA from Bubalus bubalis (water buffalo), 1019 nucleotides. RefSeq lists it as uncharacterized. The record is from RefSeq and is a predicted model, not a curated record. The transcript has 2 exons. NCBI's taxonomy places the organism in Eukaryota, Metazoa, Chordata, Mammalia, Artiodactyla, Bovidae.